GUUAUUUAAUUCGAUGAUCCCCGACUAACCUUACCAUAUUUUGUAUAUUUAUUUAUAUAAUUUAUAUAAAUAAUUACAGGCGUUACAUCGUUGUCUUCAGUUCGUGCUGCAAAGUUUUAGAUUAGUUUCAUGAACGAACAAAUCUCCAUAUGUAUAUUUAUCAAUUAUACAUAAUAUUUUAUAUCUAUUGGAUAUAUGAUGAAAGGAAUUAAGACAAAUCAUGAUGAUCCUUAUAAUAUGGGCUAUAGACGUGCUAUAAUUAAAUGAUAACAAAACUAUAUUAAAUUAUUAUAAAAAAUAAUAAAUUAAUAGUAUAAAACAUUUAAAUCUUUAAUAUAUUACUAUAUUAUUUAUAAUAUGGAUUAAUAUCUGAAAUUCGAUAUUAUGAAAAAAGAAUUGCUAGUAAUACGUAAAUUAGUAUGUUACGGUGAAUACUUUAACUGUUUCGCACUAAUUACUCAUCACGCGUUGAAACAUAAUGUUAUCUAAAUAUAUUUAUAUAUUUAUAUAUUAUAUAUAUCUUAUUAUAUAUAAUUAUAUUUAUAUUAUAAAUAUAUAAGAAAUAUU
This 567-nucleotide ribosomal RNA is filed under the name Kluyveromyces marxianus. RNAcentral describes it as "SSU rRNA". The stretch from base 1 to 256 matches the Rfam family "Bacterial small subunit ribosomal RNA", at positions 941 to 1227 of the family's 1533-position model. Lineage: Eukaryota; Fungi; Ascomycota; Saccharomycetes; Saccharomycetales; Saccharomycetaceae. The record is from RNAcentral.